GUUCAUCUGUGUCUGCAAUAUUAUACAUGUACAUGUAAUUUUGUCAGAUGUGUAUGUCUUUCUGAAGGGAUGCAACUAACCACAGCUGAAAGUUUUAUAUGAAUAUGCUAUGAUUUUAAUUUGAUAUGUCUGUCUAGCAGGGUUCUUAGUCUUGAAUGCACAAUGUUUUUGUUAGAUAUAGGUAGCUGUCAGUUAUCUGCGAGUACUCUCAGAUCUGUACCUAGUGUCUUUUUCUUGUCAGAUAAAAUGUACAAGUACCCGGCCAUGACCAAAAAGGUCCACCUGUAUUUUUGUGCAUCUGAUGAGUUGAGCCUUUUUCAACUGAUUUUUAUAGUUGUUUCUAAUGCUGUACUGUUGAACCACUGUCCCAACUUAGGGGGAGGGUUGGGAUCCUGCUAUCAUGUUUACCCUUGCCAUAUUAUGGAUGUGUGUGUCUGUCCCAAGUCAAAAACCUGUAAUUCAGUGGUUGUCUUUUUUUUAUGUGUUACAUAUUUGUUUUUCAUUCGUUUUUUGUACCCAAGUUAGGCUGUUGGUGACAUUCAGGGUCUUUUAUAGAAGACUAUGUGGUAUGGGCUUUGCUCAUUGCUGAAGGCUGUACAUUGACCAAUAGUGUCAUUUUCAUCUCUUUUGGAGAUUUGUCUUAAUAUUGGCAAUCAUACCACAUCUUUCUUUUUUUUAUUCAUCUGAAUGUUUUUUUUAGGGUCCCUAAAAGGAUGAAGAAUCUUCUUAAUUUGAACUUGUGCAAAUGUUAAUAUGUAGAUAGACAACUACCAUAAAACAAGAAACCAACAGAUGAGUUUAUAACGAAGACUACAGGUACAAUAUAAUAUUACAUAUUAAGGCAUAAAUCUUAAUAUACCUUAUAUUGACUGUGUUUGAAAAAUACACUGUUUUAGUAAUUAUUCUGCUCAUUUUGGAGGUCGUGAUUUGCAAAUAAACAAAUAUUUAAAUUUGUAUUUGUUUGAUUUUGGCAUAAUAAAACAAAGUCAAUGUUCAAUUUCUGCUACUGUAAACACAAUUUGUUUAAUCUGAGUUUGCUAGUAGACUGAAGGUUAAAUACACAUGUCUGCUAUAUCAUGUACAAUUAUUCAUUAAGCUGCUACCCAACACCUGACUAAAAUUAACUUGGCUCGUUCAAUUUUCACAAAAUUUUUACAAAAUAUUUACUUUGACCCUUUGAAAUGAAUACAAAAAUUUCAAAAAACUUGAACCAAUUGAUUUCUAGGAAGAAAUGGUUGAAUAUACAUGUAUUUCAGUUUGACAAACACUAGUUCGAUCAUUGAAAAGCUUAAAAUUUCCUGAACAGUAUAACAUGAUUAAAAUGAUUAACUGAUUUUACAGAGUUAUCUCCAGUAUUUAAGGUACUACCUUAAAUGAACAAAAUAUUAUGUAUAUGUCAUUCAGAAAUUUUUCGAUGUGAAUACUAUAUAGCCUGACAACUGUCCAUAUCUUUUCAGAUGAUUAAAAUGUUUAUAAAAAGCUUUUAUUAAAGUUAAAGAUUAUUGAAACUAUCAAUUUGAUUAUGAUUCAUAACAUCUUCAAAAAUCAUUUGCUGAUCUUUUACUUAAAUAUUGGUAUAUAUACAUGUAUAGUGUAAGAUAAUAUUGUAUACGUUAUGCAUGCAUAUCAAAACUUGUUAUUUGUCAUUACAUUUGCUUUCGGAUCUUUCAAAAACCACAUUUACUUAAUUUUUUUUUUUUUUGGAUUAGAAUAUAAAUGAAUUACCAAUAAGUUGAAUAACAGAAUAAUUUUUCAUAUUAUUAUCUUUUCAUUAAAUGAUUUGUGAACCCAGAUUAUUGGUCAAAACUUUUUGUCUCUACCACUUCCUAAUUAUUUCUUUCAGAAACAAUAUGAAGACGUGCAAAAAAGGAAAUCUAAAUCUUAAACCUUAUAUGCCUUAAUACCCAGAAAAAACUUUUAACUUUCUGCAGCUUACAACAUGUACAAUAU
This 1950-nucleotide long non-coding RNA is filed under the name Mytilus galloprovincialis (Mediterranean mussel). Lineage: Eukaryota; Metazoa; Mollusca; Bivalvia; Mytilida; Mytilidae. The record is from RNAcentral.